RNAcentral lists this ribosomal RNA (468 nucleotides) under uncultured bacterium. Its description in RNAcentral is "partial 16S ribosomal RNA". It matches the Rfam family "Bacterial small subunit ribosomal RNA", at positions 28 to 507 of the family's 1533-position model. The record is from RNAcentral.
GACGAACGCUGGCGGCGUGCUUAACACAUGCAAGUCGAACGGAUAGGCCCUGCUUUCUUCUGGUUCUCGCGUGGCGCGCGUGUGUGUUACACGUGAGUCUCCUUCCCUUUACUUUGUGAUAUCUUCAGGAGACUGCUGCUACUACCUAAUACGUGCUCCUGCUGCAUGGUGGUGUUUGGACCUUUUAGGCGGUUGUGGAUGGACUCGCGGCUUAUCAGCUUGUUGGUUGGGUAGUGGCUUACCAAGGCUUUGACGGGUGGCCGGCCUGAGAGGGUGACCAGCGACAAGAGGACUGAGAGACGGAGCAGACUGCAACGGGAGGCAGAAGGGGGGAAUAUUGCACAAUGAGCGGAAGCCUGAUGAAGAAGCGCCGCGAGCGGGAAGAAGGUCUUCGGGUGAUAAACGGCAGUAACCUGAGACGAAGCGUGAGUGACGGUAAUAGGAAAAGAAGCACCGGCUAACUACGUG